AAGUCGUAACAAGGUUUCCGUAGGUGAACCUGCGGAAGGAUCAUUAAACAAGUAAGCCGGUAGACCUAGGUAGACCGGCAAACUUCCAACCUGUGUAAACUAUUUUGUACCAUCUUUGGUGGGGCGUGGCUUCUGCCACCUCUAGUAGUCUCUACCGGAGCGUCCUUGCCAGAGAGCCCAUCAAACCAUUCAAGCUGAGUAGAUAUUGAACUUAUGAAAACUUUCAACAACGGAUCUCUUGGUUACC
This 247-nucleotide unclassified non-coding RNA is filed under the name air metagenome. RNAcentral's name for it is "partial contains small subunit ribosomal RNA, internal transcribed spacer 1, and 5.8S ribosomal RNA". The stretch from base 1 to 46 matches the Rfam family "Eukaryotic small subunit ribosomal RNA", at positions 1786 to 1831 of the family's 1831-position model. The record is from RNAcentral.